This 1800-nucleotide long non-coding RNA is filed under the name Callithrix jacchus (white-tufted-ear marmoset). RNAcentral's name for it is "lncRNA (ENSCJAG00000066870.2)". The record is from RNAcentral. Lineage: Eukaryota; Metazoa; Chordata; Mammalia; Primates; Cebidae.
AUGCCUUUAAAGGCUCAGAGUAUUGCUUCCUGUGUUUUCAGCAGGAUCUGCUUUCGGUUGGGUGAGGGGAACCCAAUAGAAUCCCCUGCUGUCCUCCCAGGCCCCCUUGAGCCCCCUAAUCCCUUCUGUACCCCUUCCCCAGUCCCAGUCUUCUGUGGCUGGCAGACUCCUCCCCUGUUGCAAGAUCCUCACUGGUUGUUUCUGUCCUCUGUCCAGCCCUGUUGUUGUCAUGAUGAUGUGCUUGCAGCGCUGGUCUGGAGAAAGCAGGCGGCAGGGAGAGGCUCCAAGCCUCAAAUGUCGUGUGUCUGCUCCUGGGGUACCUGCUGGCCCUGAAUCAAGCCUCUGCAUCCCUGGGACUCCAGGAACUUUGGGAUCCAGAGAAGCAAGCUCUUUUAUCCCAGGACCCAUGACUGCCCAAGCUGUGAGCUUCCUGAGGGCAGGGACCCUGUUCUCUCUCCCAGAGCCAGGGCUCCAUGUUGGAACUGGCCCUGACAGCGUCUGUUAAACCUCCACGAAACGACGUUCCUGAACUUGAAGCCAUAGGACAGGACUCUGAAGAUCACCAAAUCACAUCGUGAGAAAACAAAGCCCUUUUCAGCUCUGCACCGGUCCUUCUCGUGACAGCAAGGAGAACGUGUCGGGCUGGCUGGAGGAUGUCUUUAACACUCACCCCUCUCACCCUCGCCCACCUCCACAUAGAACCAAGAACACGCAGGUCCUAGACUCAGACUCUGGUGGAUGAAUGUGUGUAGCAAAAGUGACCGCAUUGCUUUAUUUUAGAAUUAUCUCCAAUUUAUACCAGGUGAUACUGGUUUUCCACUUGUAAUAGCAAUGUUAUUUUUCUGAAGUUUGUUUUUAAUUUUAAUUCACUUUCAGACAUACAGUAAAAUUGCAAGCAUAAUAGAGUUCCUGUACCUUUCACCCAGGUUCACUUAGUGUUAAUAUCCUUCCCUCUCUCUCUGCCUCUUCCCCUACCUUCCCCACCAAACUACCUACCUACCUACACACACACACACACACACGCACACGCAUGCACGCAUGCACAAUUUUUUUCUGAACUAUUUAAAAGUAUGCUGUUCUUUCGCCUCUUUUUUGCAAUGGAGUUUCAUUCUUGUCACCCAGGCGUGCAAUGGUAUGGUCUUGGCUCACUGCAACCUCCGCCUCCCAGGUUCAAGCUAUUCUCUUACCUCAGUCUCCCAAAGUGCUGGGAUUACAGACACCUGCCACCAUGCCUGGCUAAUUUUUGUAUUUUUUGUAGAGACGGGGUUUCACCAUGUUGGCCAGGCUGGUCUUGAACUCCUGACCUCAGGUGAUCCACCCUCCUUGGCUUUUUAAAGUGCUGGGAUUACAGGCCUGAGCCACCGCGCCUGGCCUCCUUUACCUCUAAAUGUGUCAGUACUCCACUGUAUACUUCCUAAAGGCGAGACUAUUUUGUUACAGAAGCAUAAUACCCUUUUCGGAAUCAGGGAACUAACCCUGAUGUCUCGCUGUAAUUGCUGGGUCUCCUUCCUGUUUCACUGCCUGUCCCGGUAAUGUCCUUUACGGCAAAAACAAAAACAAAAAACCAAAAAACACCCCAGCCCAUGUCUUGCAUGUGGUCGGGAUGUCGCUUUGACACUUUUCGUCUGAAACAGUUCUUGAGUCUUGUAUCGUGUGACAUUGGCAUUUUUGAAAAGUAGCUGCCAGGUACUAAAGAUUUGUAAGAUGUCUAAAGAUUCCUUUUUAAAUAAAUUUAAGUUUUAAAGAGGUGAGUCCGCUUAAAGAAAAACUACCAAGUGACCCAAAGAACAAAUGGUCUGC